CGUUAAUCCAAUGUCAGUACUGUACUAUAUAUAUUUCCUCAGUUGAAUAACUUUGUGUAUAUCUCUUUCCAUUUAUCGGAUUUGUAACUCCAACUUGUUCGAUUCUAGUUUUUAUAGUUUUUUAAAAACUUCUCCUUUUGCAUGUUUCAAUUGGCUCUUCGAUUGAUUUCGAAGUAGUCAAAUUCUGAGAGAUUUGUCGGGCUCUUUCCCACCGGCGCUUGUUAUCUCUUUCACGAAGUGUAAAUCCCUGAUCUCUCUAGAUAGUUAAAUCGAGCGAGGUUAUUUCAUGGAGGUUUUAACAAGGUGAUGCAGUCAAAUCAGAGAGGAGUAUGAAGAUCUAGAGUUCUUGUCGUGUUUUGGUGGCUCUCCAGAGAAUAUUUCGGCUUCGGUUCACUGAAGUUUCUUUUCGGUGAAUCAAACUUUCGCUCUUCUCGAUCUCUUCUGACGAAUCUGCAAAAGGAAACCUGGUGCAUCAUGGCGUAACUUGAGGAGUCUUAACGAAGAUGACAAAGUUUGUGUCUUACUUAAUUGGUGGUGGAAGCUCACGGCGGUGAUGACGUAUGUUUAAGACUUAUUGUAUGAAGACCACGUGGGGUUUCUUGCUCUUGCUUCCGUUUAGGAUUCAGCCUAUCAAACUAUUCGCGGACCAACUAAGUGUCGUCUCGCACGUACGAUAUGGCGAGCUCCAAGCUCUAAGAUAACCGGUCAAAUUCAAAGAUAUUCCAUUAGCAGCUCGGGGUUGUUGCGAAAAUCACGAAAAAUGGUGUAACACGAAGUGGCUCGAGAUACGCGGCGGCAGUUCAAAUCUCGAAGAGAAGUAUAAAAGGAGCUUGAGUCACACAAAAUCAAUAACUUUUCCCUUCCGAAAAAAUCCUAGCAAAAACAAUUAUUUUUUUGUACUCUUUCUCUUCGAGAAAUCAUGUAUUCAUCCUCAAUAUACUAAUAUAAAUCCAAUUUCUUCAAUAUAUUUUUAUUCUCGA
Molecule: long non-coding RNA, 980 nt
Organism: Eutrema salsugineum
Lineage: Eukaryota; Viridiplantae; Streptophyta; Magnoliopsida; Brassicales; Brassicaceae
Exons: 2
Source: RefSeq, a predicted model, not a curated record